UAAAAAAUUUCGGUAACAAGC
Molecule: non-coding RNA, 21 nt
Filed under: Caenorhabditis elegans
Lineage: Eukaryota; Metazoa; Nematoda; Chromadorea; Rhabditida; Rhabditidae
Source: RNAcentral